Callithrix jacchus (white-tufted-ear marmoset) is the source of this 2528-nucleotide long non-coding RNA. NCBI's taxonomy places the organism in Eukaryota, Metazoa, Chordata, Mammalia, Primates, Cebidae. The record is from Ensembl.
UUCAAUUUCAUGCCCAUCCAAAAGUUUGAGAGCAGAAUGAAGAUCUCUAAAAGUCCAUUUCCUUUGCACACUUUCUCUAGAAGCUAUAGGAGGAUGUGCUCCACCAAAACAAGGAUGUAAGGCAAGAAAAAGGAAGACCUGGGACCCAAGAAACAGAGACAAGGAGAGUCUCCAGGAUGGAGAAAGGAGACUUCAAGGUGACAGCAGUACCUAGAGAACAUGCCUGGGAUGGAAGAGGUCCAUAAUGAGAGAAUAGGAUCCACCCCACACAUCUUCACUGUCGGACCCAGGUUAUCAGAAACACUGCUGUGCACUAUAGCAGACAGAAAGAGAGCUCUGGAGAGUCUUACAUCAGUCAAGUGCCAUGGCCCAGAGAUGAUACGUAUCACCUCUGCUUCCAUCUCAGUGGCCAGCAUCAUGCAUAUCAUCUAUCCAAUAAGGAUUACACCAACAUGGACAGACAAGACUCCAGUGGAUGCCUGAAACUGUGGAUAGUAACAAACCCUGUGUUUUUCCCAUCUGUAUGUUUUUCCCACAACUGAGAUGGCUACUAACUGGCUAACAAGUGAGAGCAUCUAAAGCAUGGAGACACUGGACAAAAAGAGGAUUCAUGUUCCUGGUGGAAAAGAGGGGGAAGGUUGGAGACUUCAUCAUGAUACGCAGAAUGGCUCACAAUUUAAAACUUAUGAAGUGUUUAUUUCUGGGGUUUUCCAUUUAAUAUUUUUAGACCUCAGUUGACUGCCAUUUAUUAUGGGUAACAGAGCCAUGGUAAAUGAACCCUCAGAAAAGGGGACUACUGUGCAGGGUUGUUAGCAUCUAGAGUGGGGAAUUGCUGGAAAUGCUUGAUGAACAGCAUGAAUGGCGAUCACAUGCCCUCAACCAAAACGAUAGAGACAUCUUUUCUAUCUUACAAAGAAGGCCGUUUGCGUCUUCUCCCACAUUACCUAAUAAAUCCGCAUAGUACCUCAAAACCUUGGAUUAGGUAUAUUUUUCUCAAAUGUUAAGGCUCAGCAAUAAAUCCAUUAGUUUUCUAUUGCUGCAUUAAAAAAUACCCCAAACUUAGUGACUUUAAACAGCAUACGUCUAUUAUUGAAGAGCUUCCCUGGCUGGGAAGUCUGGAUAUGGGCUAGGUGGGUGGUCUGCUCGGGGUCUCACCCAGCUGGAAUCAAGGGUCAGCCAGGGCUGCAAGUCCCUCAGAGGCCUCACAUCCUCUGCUAGAAUCACUGGUCCUUGGCAGAAUUCAGUUGCUUUGGGUUAUUGGAGUGAAGUCCCAGCUUCUUGCUGGUCAUUCUUUGGGGACUAUUCUGGGUUUUGGGGUGCCCUUGGAUUUUUGCCACACACAAAUAUGUUAGCAGUUCACAACACAGCUGUCUGCCUUUCCAAGAUGAGCAGAAGAAAUCUCUCCCACUUCAAAUAUUUGAACUCUUGUAAGGGCUUCCUGAUAGGAGCGGGCCUACCCAGCAUAAUCUGUCUUUUGAUUAACUCAAAGUCAACUACUUAGGGCUCUAAAUUAUAUCUGUUUAUACCUUCUGCCAUACCUCAUAACAUAUCGAUAUAGAGAGUGAUAUCCCAUUAUAUCCGUAGGUGCCUUUGCACUCAAGAGGAAGGAAUUAUUCAGGGCAUAUACACCAGGGAGCAGGAAUCUUGAGGGCCAUCUUACUAAUUUCGCCAACACAGAGACACAAGGGCCACAUGCAAUUAGAAGCUGAUUGAAAGCUAAUUGAUUUGCUGUGUUUGGGACUGUCUUAUUAGCUGGCUUCAUAGAAUAACUUGUUGGAGUGUUCAAUGAAUUAACAAUUAAAAGACACACACACACACACACAGAGAGAGAGAGAGAGAGAGAGAGAGAGAGAGAGAGAGAGAGAAAGCUGAUAUGAAAUGAUUUGAUUUGGUGCUGCAGGUAGAGAGGGCCAUGAGGGGAGUGAGGAGCCAGGUGUGAAUCAGAUCAUCUUCCCAAGUGCCAAAUUUCCAGUGUAUACCCAAGCGUCACUCUGUCUCUUCAGCAAUGAUAUGUGUGGCAUUCUUAGUUGGCUCUUGAUAGAAUAUUUGAUUGUAUCUCCCUUUUGAUUUCUUUUUAAGGUUUACUUCUGAAAACAACACUACUCUUUUUGCAUGAUUCUUUUCUUUUCUGGAGUGAACAUUUGUUGUUCUGCUUCUUGCCCAACUGCUUAAGAUGGCUCAUUAUUCUAUAAUAUGUGCAGUAUUGCCCAGAAGUAAUUUUCCUUUUAUUUUUGCCCACAAGGUGGAAAAUUAAAGAUGAAAUACAACUUUAUUUUUGCUUUUCCCAGAAGAGUUGACAAGGUAGUUUUUUUCUGCCUGUUUUUCUAUUAGCAGUGAAAUAUUAUUUUGGCUAUAACAGUUGACUAAUUCAUCCUAUCUUGGCAAAAGUUUUAUGUAGAGAGCCUCCUGCCCUUGUUUAUGCCCCAGAGGCCCAUCCCAGGAGGAUGGAGGGGGAUUUCUACCUGGUUUCCUGCCCCUUAACCAUGCUCAGGUAUGUCUCUGCAUGUCCUUCUUCUUUCUCUAAUUGG